Molecule: transfer RNA, 77 nt
Filed under: Alphaproteobacteria bacterium
Lineage: Bacteria; Pseudomonadati; Pseudomonadota; Alphaproteobacteria
Also listed under: 1 other name
Description: tRNA-Arg
Rfam family: tRNA
About the family: Transfer RNA (tRNA) molecules are approximately 80 nucleotides in length. Their secondary structure includes four short double-helical elements and three loops (D, anti-codon, and T loops). Further hydrogen bonds mediate the characteristic L-shaped molecular structure. tRNAs have two regions of fundamental functional importance: the anti-codon, which is responsible for specific mRNA codon recognition, and the 3' end, to which the tRNAs corresponding amino acid is attached (by aminoacyl-tRNA synthetases). tRNAs cope with the degeneracy of the genetic code in two manners: having more than one tRNA (with a specific anti-codon) for a particular amino acid; and 'wobble' base-pairing, i.e. permitting non-standard base-pairing at the 3rd anti-codon position.
Source: RNAcentral
GGUCCCGUAGUUCAGUUGGAUAGAACGCCAGAUUCCUAAUCUGGAGGUCACAGGUUCGAAUCCUGUCGGGAUCACCA